AGCGAACGCUGGCGGCAGGCUUAACACAUGCGAGUCGAGCGGGGGGAGGUAGCUUGCUACCGGACCUAGCGGCGGACGGGUGAGUAAUGCUUAGGAAUCUGCCUAUUAGUGGGGGACAACAUCUCGAAAGGGAUGCUAAUACCGCAUACGUCCUACGGGAGAAAGCAGGGGAUCUUCGGACCUUGCGCUAAUAGAUGAGCCUAAGUCGGAUUAGCUAGUUGGUGGGGUAAAGGCCUACCAAGGCGACGAUCUGUAGCGGGUCUGAGAGGAUGAACCGCCACACUGGGACUGAGACACGGCCCAGACUCCUACGGGAGGCAGCAGUGGGGAAUAUUGGACAAUGGGGGGAACCCUGAUCCAGCCAUGCCGCGUGUGUGAAGAAGGCCUUAUGGUUGUAAAGCACUUUAAGCGGGGAGGAGGCUACUUUAGUUAAUACCUAGAGAUAGUGGACGUUACUCGCAGGAUAAGCACCGGCUAACUCUGUGCCAGCAGCCGCCGUAA
Molecule: ribosomal RNA, 501 nt
Filed under: uncultured bacterium
Lineage: Bacteria
Description: partial 16S ribosomal RNA
Rfam family: Bacterial small subunit ribosomal RNA
Source: RNAcentral